GAAAGCCGUAUGCUUUGGAAGAAGCUUGUACAGUUUGGGAAGAGGUUUUGAUUGAUAAAAAAUAAGAAUCUACUUCAAC
Ricinus communis (castor bean) is the source of this 79-nucleotide non-coding RNA. The record is from Rfam. NCBI's taxonomy places the organism in Eukaryota, Viridiplantae, Streptophyta, Magnoliopsida, Malpighiales, Euphorbiaceae.